Molecule: ribosomal RNA, 253 nt
Filed under: uncultured bacterium
Lineage: Bacteria
Description: partial 16S ribosomal RNA
Rfam family: Bacterial small subunit ribosomal RNA
Source: RNAcentral
UACGUAGGGGGCAAGCGUUAUCCGGAUUUACUGGGUGUAAAGGGAGCGUAGACGGCAGGGCAAGUCUGGAGUGAAAGGCAGGGGCCCAACCCCUGGACUGCUCUGGAAACUGUCCGGCUGGAGUGCAGGAGAGGUAAGUGGGAUUCCUAGUGUAGCGGUGAAAUGCGUAGAUAUUAGGAGGAACACCAGUGGCGAAGGCGGCUUACUGGACUGUAACUGACGUUGAGGCUCGAAAGCGUGGGGAGCAAACAGG